CCACCAAUAUUUGAGAAAUAACAGAAAAACAAUUUACCCCUUGGAAAUUGGAGAUGAGAUUGUUCACCGUUGGCUGUCCUGGUACUUGUCUGCCCUUUCCCCCAGAUUCUACACAAAUAUUCAAGGGUCCAGGUGUAUGAAGUUGCCAGAAAGCUGAGCUCUCUAUUGGUUAAGACUCACUUAGAAAAAAGGAACAGCUGUUUGGGGACUGAGUUCUGUGUGACACUUCCUCUUUCUUCCACUGAGUUGAGCAGCUUUAAUGGAGUCAGUCAGUUGGACUAGAGGGUUCCUCAUCUGUAAAAUGGGCUUGAGAAAGAAAUGUCAAACCUCUCCAGUAUCUGCCAAGAAAACGCCAAAAUGGGAUCCCAAAGAGUCUGACACAACUGAAAAAGGACUGAACAACAAAGGUGUAGUAGCUCAUUGUCUUGGCAACUGACUAGAAUGGUGUUUUUGUUUGAUUUCUGAUUUCACUGAUAUAAGGGGUACCCAGCAAGGAAAUUCGUUUUACCAAUGAGGAUCAGCAACUGUAAGUAAAUUAUGUUGUCUGAGGGCACUGAGAGUCUAGGG
This 567-nucleotide long non-coding RNA is filed under the name Monodelphis domestica (gray short-tailed opossum). RNAcentral describes it as "lncRNA (ENSMODG00000045573.1)". The record is from RNAcentral. Lineage: Eukaryota; Metazoa; Chordata; Mammalia; Didelphimorphia; Didelphidae.